UUGGUGUGGAACUUUGUUAGAAUUGAUCCAUACAUCAACUUGAGCCUUCGCUGAGUAGAAAAUAAUCAGUUGCCGUAUGGACUGAGCCAAGAAAGAGAUGCAGAGCAGAUUGGCAAUGUGCUUUGUAAACAAAUAUGUGUGUGCUUGAGGAUCUGUUUCUAACCAAUUGCAUUAUUUUUCUGCAGUGAUACAUGUUCUACCCUUUGACACGUUUCACACCUGCCAAUGACUUCCUUCACCUGGUCAGCAGUAACUUACCGGCAACAACAAGAGAAAAAAUUGCUUUCAGAAUUGGACUGCAUAACAUCAGUGGAGACCACUUGUCGUAAGGAAUUCUGCUGGGAGAAUGCGCUGAUAAAUCAUGCUGCUUAACAUCAGAGAAUGUUUCAUUGCUUAAAGAAGGUUUGAAGUUUUGUGGAGCAGAAAGAGACCAUAGCCAUUUACCUUUUAAAUGGCUUUGAUUUUGACUUUAAAUUGUCAUACAGCAAGCAUUUGAAGUUACUGAGAUCAGUAAUAGAUGCUUACACAUAUAGUUACUCAGUAUUCUUCCUUCCUGUUUCCAAUACUCCACUGAAGGCACUGAUACAUGUUGAAAUACAGUUCCAUCAAUGCCAGCAACUUCUUAGUGAAUAUUUUUUGUACAUAGAUAAAUGUGUUCAAAGAAAUGCCAAUACCUAUUUCUUAAUAUAAUUUGUUUAAAGUUAAUUAUUAAUACAACUUGAAAUCUAAAUAUUUUUGUAACAUUUUUGUUAUAAAAGAUGUUGCAGUGACACUGAUGUGGAAUGAGUUCAUAAAACUAUGAUCUUGAUUCACACUGUGUACAGUUUGCACAGUAAUAGAAGUUGCUUGAGUCUAAUAUCACAAAAAAACAUAUUCUUCAUAUAUACUUCUAAUUCCAUUGUUCCUGUCCAAUAUUUCUUCAACGCUUAUUUUUCAUAUCUUCCCACCUUUACU
Stegostoma tigrinum is the source of this 954-nucleotide long non-coding RNA. RefSeq lists it as uncharacterized. Lineage: Eukaryota; Metazoa; Chordata; Chondrichthyes; Orectolobiformes; Stegostomatidae. The transcript is spliced from 4 exons. The record is from RefSeq and is a predicted model, not a curated record.